AGGAACGUACCCUUCGUGUGCCCUCGUUAAAGCUUCGAGCCUUUUUGUUGUGUCCCGCCUGCGGCUCUCCACAGUCCUUUUAAAACGCGUAGCGGAAGUCGUUUCAGUAUGUGCAGAUGACACCAAAGUGAUGACAUUAAGCUGAUGUACUUGAGAGGAACCUGGACGGGCUGGAGGAACGGGCCAUCAGGAACUUCACGAAAUUGAGUGAGGACAAAUGCAAAUCCUUCCAUCUAGGAGUGACCACCCUCUGGGACAAUAGUGGAUGGGGGCUUUACUGACUGUCCCUGCUGGAAAGGAUGGGGGGUCCUGGUGGACAGUGGUUAAACAGGAGUCAAGAGUGCACCAUGAAGGCUAAGAGCACUGUACCAAGGGGAACACAGACAGUGGAUUAUUGGGAAGUGAUUAUUUCCCUUUACAUGGCUUUUGUUUGCCUGCACAUGGAAUAUGAUGCCCAGUUUGGGAGUAGAACAACCCUGAUAUGGAAAAUUACUGAUAAACUGGAGUGAGUUCAGCCAAGAGCACCAAGACAGUCAUGGGCUGGAGCACUUACUGUGUGAGAGGCUCUGGGCACCAGGGCUUCUUCAGCUGGGCGAAGGGCCAGCCUGACUACCAACAAGGAGGUUACUGAGAAGACAGAGCAGCGAUUUUUACCAACAGAAGGACAAAAAAUGUCACCCUAAGGAUAGUCAGAUGGAGAGAGGCUGUGGAAUCUCCCUCCACAGAGGUUUUAAAGACCUGAGUAGACAAAGCCUCAAACAACCUGAAUGUAAUAGUAGCCCUGCUUUGAGCAGGAUAUUAAACUAGAUAACAUCCAGAGACGCCUUCCAACCUCCAUAUUUCUGUGAUUCUGUUUGCUGAAAUAAGACAAAAUAAUAAAAUAAUAUUCACUAUCAGGGUUUAUUUCCCCUCAGGUAGGGCUCUUUUCAAUAGCAAAAGUAGGCAGGAGUUCAUAGGCUGAAUUUUCACGGCCUGUUAAAACUCUUGAGAACUGAUUCUCUGGCUUCUUUGGGAGCAUAAAACAAUCAAGCUGAUAGUUACUGUAGGUGGUCCUGAGUCUGGCAAACAGAUGUUUCAUUGAAUGCAAGCACGACACUCCUAUACAUUGCCUGGAUCCAAAGUACUGAUUUAUGUUUGCUACUAAUUUGUACUCCUCAGAAUCUAGGAUGCCUUGUUAGAUCAAGCGUAUCACUAGUCUGAUCAACUUUAUAGUAAAAUACACUUAAUUGAAAAAAAAAAAAAAAAAACACAAACAAAAAAACAAACCAAACCAAAGCCAUACAAAACUAUUUGUAGAACCAGCACUUUACUUACCUGCUUUACGCAAAUUGCAUUCUUACAUGCUGCCAGUAUUCAGGUAACUCAUCUGCUCAUUAACAACUGCAAGGUUUCUGGAAAAUACUGAAACUGUGCAAAUAUGAUAGUUUGUUUUCUGUACACACAGAAAAGAAAAAAACCCCACCACAUUCUUCUCUUGCCUUCAGCUUUCCCUGGUCUAAGCAAAAGUGGAGGAUGUAUUGCACUUAGCAGAACUGGCCCUUCUUCACUCAGUACCAAGCUGGGAACACCUUAGUCACACCGCUAAAGAAUGUCCCUUUGGGAAUAUGGAAAACUUUUAGCAGGUAGCUACUCUUACAUGAAAAAUGAUCAGAAAAACAAAAGCACGUUCAAAUUUGGCAAAUUAGCACAUGGAACAAGUGGACAUUCUAAUGUCAUGGGGAUGUAAUUGAGUGUUGUAGGUUAUCCACUUAUGAAAAACAAAGAUGAAAAAGCAAAUACAUUAAAGAAAGACAUUUCUGUUUU
Molecule: long non-coding RNA, 1803 nt
Organism: Tyto alba (common barn owl)
Lineage: Eukaryota; Metazoa; Chordata; Aves; Strigiformes; Tytonidae
Exons: 2
Source: RefSeq, a predicted model, not a curated record